Molecule: long non-coding RNA, 365 nt
Filed under: Bos taurus (domestic cattle)
Lineage: Eukaryota; Metazoa; Chordata; Mammalia; Artiodactyla; Bovidae
Description: long non-coding RNA NONBTAT010735
Source: RNAcentral
GAAUGUUGUCUGUUACAUUUAUUGGUUUGUGAGUGUUUUCUGAAAAACUGCAGUGUCUGUGAAGACCAAUUUCCAUGCUGGCAUGCAUCCAAAUAUUAAUGCACAGAGGCACAGAAUUAGAGCAACGAGAGCAUAGUCAAACACUAGCACGCCCCAUCCCCCCUUUAUUGCUUGUUUUGCUUAGUACUUCUUAGAACAAAAAUAAGAAACUCGAAUUCAACGUUCAACUGCCAAAGAAACAAUAACAACAGGGCACAUACUCAGGGCUUGAAUGAAAUUGUAAACACUAGCUGGCGCAAAACAGUAGACAUUGACUAUUCAAAUUUGAAUCCAGGUCUCGGGGAAGUGAAAAGCUUUUCUGUACU